UACCUGACAGAAACAUAAAUACUUCAAUCCCAAAGUACCACUGCAUUAAGUUAAUUAGGAAGCAUGCGUGAACAGGUUAUAACGCAAAUGUUUUGCAGGUUACUCCCAGCAUGGUGACAUGCUUACACAACCCAUGAAAAGGUUGUUCUGCAACUCUGAAAUUUAAGAAACUCAAAUCUGCCCAAGAUGCUGCUUCCCUGCAAACAACUCCCUAUUCUUCCCAAGGCGAAGCACAGCCGAGGCUGAGAUGAAACAAAAGGCGUGUCAUGGAGCAUGGUGACAAUGGCCGAUAUGUUGAGUUGAUCUAAUUUGUUGAACCAUAGCAAUGCACAAGUAUUUAGCUAGUAACAUAAGUGACGACAUUGGUGCAUCAGGAUCAACAUUUGUAACUGGACUCAGGUUAAAUUUGGACCCCAAGUCCCCAAACUCUAGCUCUGUUCAAAACUACAUAUAGUUAUAUGCUUCGCAUCCCAAUAUCAUACAAAAUAAGUUUCGUUUGA
This is a long non-coding RNA of Brachypodium distachyon (stiff brome), 500 nucleotides long. RefSeq lists it as uncharacterized. The record is from RefSeq and is a predicted model, not a curated record. NCBI's taxonomy places the organism in Eukaryota, Viridiplantae, Streptophyta, Magnoliopsida, Poales, Poaceae. The transcript is spliced from 2 exons.